GAUGAAGAACUCAGCGAAAUGCGAUAAGUAGUGUGAAUUGCAGAAUUCAGUGAAUCAUCGAAUCUUUGAACGCACAUUGCGCCCCUUGGUAUUCCAUGGGGCAUGCCUGUUCGAGCGUCAUUUGUACCCUCAAGCUUUGCUUGGUGUUGGGCGUCUUGUCGUAUUACGACUCGCCUUAAAUACAUUGGCAGCCGGCACUUUGGCCUAGGAGCGCAGCACAUUUUGCGAUCGUAGCCCGUUGUACUGGCGUCCAUCAAGAACAUUUACCACGUUUGACCUCGGAUCAGGUAGGGAUACCCGCUGAACUUAAGCAUAUCAAUAAGCGGAGGA
RNAcentral lists this unclassified non-coding RNA (330 nucleotides) under soil metagenome. RNAcentral's name for it is "partial contains 5.8S ribosomal RNA, internal transcribed spacer 2, and large subunit ribosomal RNA". The stretch from base 1 to 120 matches the Rfam family "5.8S ribosomal RNA", at positions 35 to 154 of the family's 154-position model. The record is from RNAcentral.